This 496-nucleotide ribosomal RNA is filed under the name uncultured bacterium. RNAcentral's name for it is "partial 16S ribosomal RNA". It matches the Rfam family "Bacterial small subunit ribosomal RNA", at positions 29 to 507 of the family's 1533-position model. The record is from RNAcentral.
AUGAACGCUGGCGGCGUGCCUAAUACAUGCAAGUCGAGCGAACAGAUGAGGAGCUUGCUCCUCUGACGUUAGCGGCGGACGGGUGAGUAACACGUGGAUAACCUACCUAUAAGACUGGGAUAACUUCGGGAAACCGGAGCUAAUACCGGAUAAUAUAUUGAACCGCAUGGUUCAAUAGUGAAAGACGGUUUUGCUGUCACUUAUAGAUGGAUCCGCGCCGCAUUAGCUAGUUGGUAAGGUAACGGCUUACCAAGGCAACGAUGCGUAGCCGACCUGAGAGGGUGAUCGGCCACACUGGAACUGAGACACGGUCCAGACUCCUACGGGAGGCAGCAGUAGGGAAUCUUCCACAAUGGGCGAAAGCCUGACGGAGCAACGCCGCGUGAGUGAUGAAGGUCUUCGGAUCGUAAAACUCUGUUAUUAGGGAAGAACAAAUGUGUAAGUAACUAUGCACGUCUUGACGGUACCUAAUCAGAAAGCCACGGCUAACUACGUG